RNAcentral lists this long non-coding RNA (197 nucleotides) under Calidris pygmaea (Spoon-billed sandpiper). RNAcentral describes it as "lncRNA (ENSCPGG00000013894.1)". Lineage: Eukaryota; Metazoa; Chordata; Aves; Charadriiformes; Scolopacidae. The record is from RNAcentral.
GAUGGAGGAGAGAAGCCAAACUGGGCAAGUGCAGGGGGAGAUGGGUGAGCUGGGGCGAUCCCCCAUCCUUCUCCGGCAGUUACGGAGAAGGAGGUGCAGCAGUGGUGAGUGGCCGGCGUGUUGGUGAGCUGCCGGGGCGCGGGGCUGGUGGGCAAGGGGCCGGGAGCCGGUGGCACACAGCAACCCCUCCGGCCGUG